This 1806-nucleotide ribosomal RNA is filed under the name Candidatus Phytoplasma citri. Its description in RNAcentral is "bacterial SSU rRNA". The stretch from base 1 to 1525 matches the Rfam family "Bacterial small subunit ribosomal RNA". Lineage: Bacteria; Bacillati; Mycoplasmatota; Mollicutes; Acholeplasmatales; Acholeplasmataceae. The record is from RNAcentral.
AAGAGUUUGAUCCUGGCUCAGGAUUAACGCUGGCGGCGUGCCUAAUACAUGCAAGUCGAACGGAAACCUUCGGGUUUUAGUGGCGAACGGGUGAGUAACACGUAAGCAACCUACCCUAAAGACGAGGAUAACCAUUGGAAACAGUGGCUAAGACUGGAUAGGAAGAUAAAAGGCAUCUUGUAUCUUUUAAAAGACCUAGUUAAUAGGUAUGCUUUAGGAGGGGCUUGCGCCAUAUUAGUUAGUUGGUAGGGUAAUGGCCUACCAAGACGAUGAUGUGUAGCUGGACUGAGAGGUUGAACAGCCACAUUGGGACUGAGACACGGCCCAAACUCCUACGGGAGGCAGCAGUAGGGAAUUUUCGGCAAUGGAGGAAACUCUGACCGAGCAACGCCGCGUGAAUGACGAAGUACUUCGGUAUGUAAAGUUCUUUUAUCGAGGAAGAAAAGCAAAUGGCGAACCAUUUGUUUGCCGGUACUUGAUGAAUAAGCCCCGGCUAAUUAUGUGCCAGCAGCCGCGGUAAGACAUAAGGGGCAAGUGUUAUCCGGAAUUAUUGGGCGUAAAGGGUGCGUAGGCGGUCUAGUAAGUCAGUGGUGUAAUGGCAACGCUUAACGUUGUCCGGCUAUUGAAACUGCUAAACUUGAGUUAGAUAGAGGCGAGUGGAAUUCCAUGUGUAGCGGUAAAAUGCGUAAAUAUAUGGAGGAACACCAGAGGCGUAGGCGGCUCGCUGGGUCUUAACUGACGCUGAGGCACGAAAGCGUGGGGAGCAAACAGGAUUAGAUACCCUGGUAGUCCACGCCGUAAACGAUGAGUACUAAGUGUCGGGUUAAACCGGUACUGAAGUUAACACAUUAAGUACUCCGCCUGAGUAGUACGUACGCAAGUAUGAAACUUAAAGGAAUUGACGGGACUCCGCACAAGCGGUGGAUCAUGUUGUUUAAUUCGAAGAUACCCGAAAAACCUUACCAGGUCUUGACAUGUUUUUGCAAAAUGAUAGUAAUAUCGUGGAGGUUACCAGAAACACAGGUGGUGCAUGGUUGUCGUCAGCUCGUGUCGUGAGAUGUUAGGUUAAGUCCUAAAACGAGCGAAACCCUUAUCGUUAGUUGCCAGCACGUUAUGGUGGGGACUUUAACGAGACUGCCAAUGAUAAAUUGGAGGAAGGUGAGGAUCACGUCAAAUCAGCAUGCCCCUUAUGACCUGGGCUACAAACGUGAUACAAUGGCUGUUACAAAGGGUAGCUGAAACGCAAGUUCUUGGCCAAUCCCCAAAAACAGUCCCAGUCCGGAUUGAAGUCUGCAACUCGACUUCAUGAAGUUGGAAUCGCUAGUAAUCGCGAAUCAGCAUGUCGCGGUGAAUACGUUCUCGGGGUUUGUACACACCGCCCGUCAAACCACGAAAGUUGGCAAUACCCCAAAACGGUAGCCUAACUCGUUUAUUCGAGAGGGCGCCGUCUAAGGUAGGGUCGAUGAUUGGGGUUAAGUCGUAACAAGGUAUCCCUACCGGAAGGUGGGGAUGGAUCACCUCCUUUCUAAGGAAACCAAUAAAAGCAAUCAUCUUCAGUUUUGAAAGACUUAGGCAACUAAGUUUUUCUUCGUGACUUCACGAAGGGCCUAUAGCUCAGUUGGUUAGAGCACACGCCUGAUAAGCGUGAGGUCGGUGGUUCAAGUCCAUUUAGGCCCACCAGAGUUAUAGGUUUCGUAAGAACACAAAUUCUUUGAAAAUUAGGUAAAUAAUAGUUAUUUAUCCGGAACAUUAAAGGAAAUAAGAGCGCACAGUGGAUGCCUAGGCACCAAGAGCCGAUGAAGGACG